GUCGUGCGAGAAGUAGGCUUCGGUCUAUGAGUAGAGCGGCGCACGGGUGAGUAACGCGUGGAUGAUCUACCCUUGAGUUCGGGAUAACGGUGCGAAAGCGCCGCUAAUACCGUAUAACAAUCCAUUUCAUCGUGGGUUCAAAGCAGGCCUCUUCGUGAAAGCUUGCGCUUGGGGAUGAGUCCGCGUCCCAUUAGCUUGUUGGCGGGGUAACGGCCCACCAAGGCUACGAUGGGUAGCUGGUCUGAGAGGAUGAUCAGCCACACUGGAACUGAAACACGGUCCAGACUCCUACGGGAGGCAGCAGUGGGGGAUAUUGCGCAAUGGGGGAAACCCUGACGCAGCGACGUCGUGUGAGGGAAGAAGGCCUUCGGGUCGUAAACCUCUGUCAGAAGGGAAGAACAUCCGGGAGUCGAACAGCCUCCCGGCCUGACGGUACCUUCAGAGGAAGCGCCGGCUAACUCCGUGCCAGCAGCCGCGGUAAUACGGAGGGCGCAAGCGUUAAUCGGAAUCACUGGGCGUAAAGCGUGCGUAGGCUGUUUGAUAAGUCAGACGUGAAAUCCCUCGGCUCAACCGGGGAACUGCGUUUGAUACUGUUGAACUAGAGUCCUGGAGAGGGUGGCGGAAUUCCUGGUGUAGGAGUGAAAUCCGUAGAUAUCAGGAGGACACCGGUGGCGAAGCGGCCACUGG
Molecule: ribosomal RNA, 687 nt
Filed under: uncultured bacterium
Lineage: Bacteria
Description: bacterial SSU rRNA
Rfam family: Bacterial small subunit ribosomal RNA
Source: RNAcentral